Molecule: ribosomal RNA, 253 nt
Filed under: uncultured bacterium
Lineage: Bacteria
Description: partial 16S ribosomal RNA
Rfam family: Bacterial small subunit ribosomal RNA
Source: RNAcentral
UACAGAGGUCUCAAGCGUUGUUCGGAUUCAUUGGGCGUAAAGGGUGCGUAGGCGGCGCGGUAAGUCGGGUGUGAAAUCUCGGAGCUUAACUCCGAAACUGCAUUCGAUACUGCCGUGCUUGAGGACUGGAGAGGAGACUGGAAUUUACGGUGUAGCGGUGAAAUGCGCAGAUAUCGUAAGGAAGACCAGUGGCGAAGGCGGGUCUCUGGGCCGAUACUGACGCUGAGGAGCGAAAGCGUGGGGAGCGAACAGG